GUACACAAAAGCGCAUGUGCUGUGAGCUCGAUGAGUAGGGCGGGACACGUGGUAUCCUGUCUGAAUAUGGGGGGACCAUCCUCCAAGGCUAAAUACUCCUGACUGACCGAUAGUGAACCAGUACCGUGAGGGAAAGGCGAAAAGAACCCCGGCGAGGGGAGUGAAAAAGAACCUGAAACCGUGUACGUACAAGCAGUGGGAGCACCCUUUGGGGUGUGACUGCGUACCUUUUGUAUAAUGGGUCAGCGACUUAUAUUCUGUAGCAAGGUUAACCGAAUAGGGGAGCCGGAGGGAAACCGAGUCUUAAUUGGGCGUUAAGUUGCAGGGUAUAGACCCGAAACCCGGUGAUCUAGCCAUGGGCAGGUUGAAGGUUGGGUAACACUAACUGGAGGACCGAACCGACUAAUGUUGAAAAAUUAGCGGAUGACCUGUGGCUGGGGGUGAAAGGCCAAUCAAACCGGGAGAUAGCUGGUUCUCCCCGAAAGCUAUUUAGGUAGCGCCUCGUGAAUUCAUCUCCGGGGGUAGAGCACUGUUUCGGCUAGGGGGCCAUCCCGGCUUACCAACCCGAUGCAAACUGCGAAUACCGGAGAAUGUUAUCACGGGAGACACACGGCGGGUGCUAACGUCCGUCGUGAAGAGGGAAACAACCCAGACCGCCAGCUAAGGUCCCAAAGUCAUGGUUAAGUGGGAAACGAUGUGGGAAGGCCCAGACAGCCAGGAUGUUGGCUUAGAAGCAGCCAUCAUUUAAAGAAAGCGUAAUAGCUCACUGGUCGAGUCGGCCUGCGCGGAAGAUGUAACGGGGCUAAACCAUGCACCGAAGCUGCGGCAGCGACGCUGAUGCGUUGUUGGGUAGGGGAGCGUUCUGUAAGCCUGCGAAGGUGGCCUGUGAGGGUUGCUGGAGGUAUCAGAAGUGCGAAUGCUGACAUAAGUAACGAUAAAGCGGGUGAAAAGCCCGCUCGCCGGAAGACCAAGGGUUCCUGUCCAACGUUAAUCGGGGCAGGGUGAGUCGACCCCUAAGGCGAGGCCGAAAGGCGUAGUCGAUGGGAAACGGGUUAAUAUUCCCGUACUUGGUGUUACUGCGAAGGGGGGACGGAGAAGGCUAUGUUGGCCGGGCGACGGUU
RNAcentral lists this ribosomal RNA (1121 nucleotides) under Salmonella enterica subsp. enterica serovar Montevideo. Its description in RNAcentral is "partial 23S ribosomal RNA". It matches the Rfam family "Bacterial large subunit ribosomal RNA", at positions 375 to 1503 of the family's 2925-position model. The record is from RNAcentral. Lineage: Bacteria; Pseudomonadati; Pseudomonadota; Gammaproteobacteria; Enterobacterales; Enterobacteriaceae.